CGCUCGGGCCGGGGCUACCGGGCCCGCAGUUGCCGGGCAGCUGCCCCGAGGCCGGUCCGCCCCGGGCACGGCGCCCCACGGCCGGCCUCGCCGCGGGGUUUGCGUAGAAGCGAGCGGGGAGGAGAGGGGAGAGGCAGCAGCCGAGAUACCGAGCCCUCCCGAGCGUCGCAGCAGUACGGGCCGUGCAACACUGAGACUAUUAGCCCCCGGGGGAGGAGGCCAUGAGUACAGGUAUCCGGAGGUGAAACCACUCAGGGAAUAAAGAAGUGACCUCUCACUCCCACUGGCUGAGAGCAUCAACAUACACAGCUUCAAAGGUGGUUUUGAAAACUAAGAGUCGGAGCUUAAAUUGGAGCCCAGGGGCCUCUGCCUCAAACAAAAGAGCAACUAGGAACUAUUGGGAGAGCUAUUGAACUUCGAGAGGGUUCAUAGUCAGAAAAUAUUUGCUCUAGCUUUGAUUCAUAUCUGUUCUCUCUAUUGGCAAACAUAAGUUAAAAGCUUGUGAACUGACACAGUAAUGAAAGAAUGAGCUAGUGUGGUCUCGUAUGUUCUGCGUGUAUUGUGAGCAAAUUUAACUACAGCAAAAUCUUUCUGGUGAUAAUGCAAGACACAGAAAGAGCCCAGAAAGCAAUGACAUCUCAGGUGGAACAGAGGCUGCAACAAGAAAAAUCCAAGCCUGAGUGGAGAACAAAAGUGAUCGUUAAUUUGUAGAUGUUAACAUGAUGCAAAGUUUUGAGGCCAAAUUCUUUAAGGCUUCUAAUCAAUCAAGAGGAAAAAUCUAACAUCUGAGUACUUUAGAUACUCUCAGUAUCAAAGAUAAAACAGGGUGGGUGUAAUUCCCUUGAGCAUGAGUAGGAACUGCUUGGUGGUUGCUGGAAUCUGAUGUCACAUCCCAGCUCUAACAAAAGGAACCUCUGGCCUUGAGUAAGCCCUUGCUUCAUCAGCACUGGUGUUUCACAGACAGAUCACCUUCUUGACAAACUUCUGAAAUGUAAGCAAUUUCUUUACAACGAUGUGGCUUAACCCUACAUUCCACAUGCUUCAGCCUCUGUGUCUGCUGAACCACAGGCUGAGGAAGCUUUCCUGCUAGAGCUCUCCAAGAUGUCUCACUGCAUCCUUUCUGUAGUUUUCGUAUUUGUUCCCAAGCCCAUUCUCCUCAGACAUGAGAAUCUGCGAUCAUCACGAACUACAAUACACAACUGCCAAUUUAAGAAUUUUGUAUCUGUUGCAAUUUUUUUUUUAAAUGGCAUCUGGCACAAUAAUUGUAAUAAAAUACAUUGCUAAUAU
Long non-coding RNA from Aquila chrysaetos chrysaetos, 1287 nucleotides. RefSeq lists it as uncharacterized. The record is from RefSeq and is a predicted model, not a curated record. The transcript is spliced from 2 exons. NCBI's taxonomy places the organism in Eukaryota, Metazoa, Chordata, Aves, Accipitriformes, Accipitridae.